Molecule: ribosomal RNA, 484 nt
Filed under: uncultured bacterium
Lineage: Bacteria
Description: partial 16S ribosomal RNA
Rfam family: Bacterial small subunit ribosomal RNA
Source: RNAcentral
AUUGAACGCUGGCGGCAGGCCUAACACAUGCAAGUCGAGCGGAUGAAGGGAGCUUGCUCCUGGAUUCAGCGGCGGACGGGUGAGUAAUGCCUAGGAAUCUGCCUGGCAGUGGGGGAUAACGUCCGGAAACGGGCGCUAAUACCGCAUACGUCCUGAGGGAGAAAGUGGGGGAUCUUCGGACCUCACGCUAUCAGAUGAGCCUAGGUCGGAUUAGCUAGCUGGUGGGGUAAAGGCCUACCAAGGCGACGAUCCGUAACUGGUCUGAGAGGAUGAUCAGUCACACUGGAACUGAGACACGGUCCAGACUCCUACGGGAGGCAGCAGUGGGGAAUAUUGGACAAUGGGCGAAAGCCUGAUCCAGCCAUGCCGCGUGUGUGACGAAGGUCUUCGGAUUGUAAAGCACUUUAAGUUGGGAGGAAGGGCAGUAAGUUAAUACCUUGCUGUUUUGACGUUACCAACAGAAUAAGCACCGGCUAACUUCGUG